RNAcentral lists this unclassified non-coding RNA (330 nucleotides) under soil metagenome. RNAcentral describes it as "partial contains 5.8S ribosomal RNA, internal transcribed spacer 2, and large subunit ribosomal RNA". The stretch from base 1 to 120 matches the Rfam family "5.8S ribosomal RNA", at positions 35 to 154 of the family's 154-position model. The record is from RNAcentral.
GAUGAAGAACGUAGCGAAAUGCGAUAAGUAGUGUGAAUUGCAGAAUUCAGUGAAUCAUCGAAUCUUUGAACGCACAUUGCGCCCCUUGGUAUUCCAUGGGGCAAGCCUGUUCGAGCGUCAUUUGUACCCUCAAGCUUUGCUUGGUGUUGGGCGUCUUGUCGUAUUACGACUCGCCUUAAAUACAUUGGCAGCCGGCACUUUGGCCUAGGAGCGCAGCACAUUUUGCGAUCGUAGCCCGUUGUACUGGCGUCCAUCAAGAACAUUUACCACGUUUGACCUCGGAUCAGGUAGGGAUACCCGCUGAACUUAAGCAUAUCAAUAAGCGGAGGA